GAUGAACGCUGGCGGCGUGCCUAAUACAUGCAAGUCGAGCGAACAGACGAGGAGCUUGCUCCUCUGACGUUAGCGGCGGACGGGUGAGUAACACGUGGAUAACCUACCUAUAAGACUGGGACAACUUCGGGAAACCGGAGCUAAUACCGGAUAAUAUAUUGAACCGCAUGGUUCAAUAGUGAAAGACGGUUUUGCUGUCACUUAUAGAUGGAUCCGCGCCGCAUUAGCUAGUUGAUAAGGUAACGGCUUACCAAGGCAACGAUGCGUAGCCGACCUGAGAGGGUGAUCGGCCACACUGGAACUGAGACACGGUCCAGACUCCUACGGGAGGCAGCAGUAGGGAAUCUUCCGCAAUGGGCGAAAGCUUGACGGAGCAACGCCGCGUGAGUGAUGAAGGUCUUCGGAUCGUAAAACUCUGUUAUUAGGGAAGAACAAAUGUGUAAGUAACUAUGCACGUCUUGACGGUACCUAAUCAGAAAGCCACGGCUAACUACGUG
This 497-nucleotide ribosomal RNA is filed under the name uncultured bacterium. RNAcentral describes it as "partial 16S ribosomal RNA". It matches the Rfam family "Bacterial small subunit ribosomal RNA", at positions 28 to 507 of the family's 1533-position model. The record is from RNAcentral.